RNAcentral lists this ribosomal RNA (138 nucleotides) under uncultured eukaryote. RNAcentral's name for it is "partial 18S ribosomal RNA". It matches the Rfam family "Eukaryotic small subunit ribosomal RNA", at positions 1299 to 1458 of the family's 1831-position model. The record is from RNAcentral.
UGGUGGAGUGAUUUGUCUGGUUAAUUCCGUUAACGAACGAGACCUUAACCUACUAAAUAGUUACGCGAACCUGUGUUCGUGGACAACUUCUUAGAGGGACUAUUCGUGUCUAGCGAAUGGAAGUUUGAGGCAAUAACA